UAUGAAGAACGCAGCGAAAUGCGAUAAGUAAUGUGAAUUGCAGAAUUCAGUGAAUCAUCGAAUCUUUGAACGCACAUUGCGCCCGCCAGUAUUCUGGCGGGCAUGCCUGUUCGAGCGUCAUUUCAACCAUCAAGCCCCAGGCUUGUGUUGGGGACCUGCGGCUGCCGCAGGCCCUGAAAACCAGUGGCGGGCUCGCUGUCACACCGGGCGUAGUAGAUUUUAUCUCGCUCAGGGCGUGCUGCGGGUUCCGGCCGUUAAAAAGCCUUUUUUACCCAAGGUUGACCUCGGAUCAGGUAGGAAUACCCGCUGAACUUAAGCAUAUCAAUAAGCGGAGGA
This 336-nucleotide unclassified non-coding RNA is filed under the name soil metagenome. RNAcentral's name for it is "partial contains 5.8S ribosomal RNA, internal transcribed spacer 2, and large subunit ribosomal RNA". The stretch from base 2 to 120 matches the Rfam family "5.8S ribosomal RNA", at positions 36 to 154 of the family's 154-position model. The record is from RNAcentral.